UCUAUUCAGGGAGAGAACGAUUUUGUUCAAAACUGAGUUGGAAAUUACGGGUGGGGAAGGCAGCUAAAAAGAGAGCAGAAAGAACGGGAUAUUUAUAUGGGCCCAAGGCCCUUGAGAACGAAAGGAUUUGAAGAUGCUCAGAAAGGGAUGUGGCAAAGCCACUGCCCUCUGCAGUGACGGCUUCCAGAUCGCCCUUACACGUGCAGGACGCAAGGCCAUUUCCGCGGUGGCCUAUUUCCCCGGGAUGGCCGCGUGCAGUUGAGCCUGGGAGCCCUGCACCAAGGCCCGCUGUUGAGCUGCACAUAGCUGUGCGGCCACGCUUGGUGAGCGUGGGGCUCGCUCCUUCAACCAAACCUGGAAGGUGAGAGGCGGGACACAUCCAUGUCUAAACGCUCCUGGUUACCCUCAUAGAAUUUUUUGAUUUUUUUUGUGUAUGUGUGUGGUUUGACGUUUGGUUUUGGGAACGGGGAGCUCUGACUUUUCUGGAGAAAUCGGAAGAGCACACUUCUGA
Felis catus (domestic cat) is the source of this 511-nucleotide long non-coding RNA. RefSeq lists it as uncharacterized. The transcript has 3 exons. The record is from RefSeq and is a predicted model, not a curated record. NCBI's taxonomy places the organism in Eukaryota, Metazoa, Chordata, Mammalia, Carnivora, Felidae.